ACGGACCCGCACAAGCAGCGGAGCGUGUGGUUAAUUCGAGGCUACACGAAGAACCUUACCAGGGUUUGACAUGCAAGUGGUAGGAAUCCGAAAGGUGACCGACCCUUCGGGGAGCUUGCACAGGUGCUGCAUGGCUGUCGUCAGCUCGUGUCGUGAGAUGUUCGGUUAAGUCCGCUAACGAGCGCAACCCUCGUCGUGUGUUAUACGUGUCACACGAUACUGCCGGUAUCAAGCCGGAGGAAGGUGGGGAUGAUGUCAAGUCAGCAUGGCCUUUAUAUCCUGGGCUACACACACGCUACAAUGGCAGAUACAAUAGGUUGCGAAACCGCGAGGUGGAGCCAAUCCUCAAAGUCUGUCUCAGUUCAGAUUGUAGGCUGCAACUCGCCUGCAUGAAGUUGGAGUUGCUAGUAAACGCAGGUCAGCUAUACUGCGUUGAAUACGUUCCUGGGGUUU
Molecule: ribosomal RNA, 453 nt
Filed under: uncultured Leptolinea sp.
Lineage: Bacteria; Bacillati; Chloroflexota; Anaerolineae; Anaerolineales; Anaerolineaceae
Description: bacterial SSU rRNA
Rfam family: Bacterial small subunit ribosomal RNA
Source: RNAcentral